UACGUAGGGGGCAAGCGUUGUCCGGAAUCAUUGGGCGUAAAGAGCUCGUAGGCGACCUGUCGCGUCCGCUGUGAAAUCCCGGGGCUUAACCCCGGCGUGCAGUGGAUACGGGCUGGCUGGAGGCAGGCAGGGGAGAACGGAAUUCCCGGUGUAGCGGUGAAAUGCGCAGAUAUCGGGAGGAACACCGGUGGCGAAGGCGGUUCUCUGGGCCUGUACUGACGCUGAGGAGCGAAAGCGUGGGGAG
RNAcentral lists this ribosomal RNA (244 nucleotides) under uncultured bacterium. RNAcentral describes it as "partial 16S ribosomal RNA". It matches the Rfam family "Bacterial small subunit ribosomal RNA", at positions 524 to 768 of the family's 1533-position model. The record is from RNAcentral.